AUGCGCUACGCUCGCAGCGCCUGUCACGUGACGCGCAAGACGAGGCGCGGCCUCGCUCUGCGCAUGCGGGCCAGCCGUGCUGCGCUCCCGCGGGGCUGGUUUGUGAGGAAAGGGCCCGGCUGCCCGGGCCCAGGUGGGGGCUUGCUACCCGGAGGCGACGACGGCGUCCAUUUUUCUUGGACGACGGAAACAAAAUAUCUAGAAAUGCAGUUUUUUACCAGGUCUGGACCCUGUGCUUCUGCUCUUGUGAUUUUGCACGACCUUGGUUUCCCCAUCUUCACAACACCACCUGCCUUGCCCCAUGCCCUAUAUAAGACCGUGGCAUGUGUUCAAUUAUUUUUUGGGCUCUGAGCUGCUUCGGAUGGGACAUAUCACCCUGGCACCUGAGACCCAACCAACUCUACUUGUCCUGGAGUUUCUCCCUAGGAAGAAUGCAGGUAUUGGAAAUUAUAUUUCUUCCACAUUGACACAAAUCAAAGGUGCAUGUGUAUGCACUCAUGAGUGGAGGGGAGGGGCAGAGGGAGAGGAACAAGCAGACUCCAUGCUGAGCAGGGAGCCUGAUGUGGGGCUUCAUCUCAGGACCCUGAGAUCAUGACCUGCGCCAAAGGCACACUGUUAACCAACUGAACCACUCAAGUGCCCCUCAUUGUGGUUUUGAUUUGCAUUUCCUCAUAAUCAGUUGUGUUGAGUGACUUUUAUAUACCUAUUGGACAUUUGUAUGUCUUUUACAGAAAAAUGUCUUUUCAGUUAUGUCCAUUUUUAAAUCAGAUUUUUUCCUUAUUAAUUGUAGGAGUUCUUUAUAUACUUUAGAUAUUAACCCCUUAUCAGAUAUGAUUUGUAAAUAUUUUCUCUCGGCCAUAGGUUGCCUUUUCAUUUUGUUGAUGGUUUCAUUUUCUGUGUAUCUUUUUAGUUUGAUGUUGCUUAGUCACUUGCUUGUCACUUGCUUAGUUUUGCUUUUGAUUUUUUUGAUAUCAAAUCUAAAAAAAAUUGUUGUCAAGAUCAAUGUCAAAGAUUUUACCCCCAUGUCUUCUUCUAGGAGUUUUAUGGUUUCAGGUCUUAUAUGAAAGUCUUUAAUACAUUUCGAGUUAGUUUUUGUAUAUGGUGUAAGAUAGUGUUUCAGUUUCAUUCUUUUGAAUAUAAAUGUCCAGUUCUUCCAACACCAUUUACUGAAAAGACUAUCCUUUCCCCUUUGUAUAUUCUUGGCUCCUUUGUUCUAAGUUAAUUGACCAAACAUAUGUGUGUUUAUUUCUGGAUUCUCUAUUUUGUUUCAUUGAUCUGUGUGUUUG
Molecule: long non-coding RNA, 1286 nt
Filed under: Vulpes vulpes (red fox)
Lineage: Eukaryota; Metazoa; Chordata; Mammalia; Carnivora; Canidae
Description: lncRNA (ENSVVUG00000004324.1)
Source: RNAcentral